CGGGACCCGCACAAGCGGUGGAUGAUGUGGUUUAAUUCGAUGCAACGCGAAAACCUUACCACCUUUGACAUGUACGGAAUCCUUUAGAGAUAGAGGAGUGCUCGAAAGAGAGCCGUAACACAGGUGCUGCAUGGCUGUCGUCAGCUCGUGUCGUGAGAUGUUGGGUUAAGUCCCGCAACGAGCGCAACCCUUGUCAUUAGUUGCUACAUUCAGUUGGGCACUCUAAUGAGACUGCCGGUGACAAACCGGAGGAAGGUGGGGAUGACGUCAAGUCCUCAUGGCCCUUAUAGGUGGGGCUACACACGUCAUACAAUGGAUGGUACAAAGGGUCGCCAACCCGCGAGGGGGAGCCAAUCCCAUAAAGCCAUUCGUAGUCCGGAUCGCAGUCUGCAACUCGACUGCGUGAAGUCGGAAUUGCUAGUAAUCGUGGAUCAGAAUGUCACGGUGAAUACGUUCCCGGGUCUU
RNAcentral lists this ribosomal RNA (465 nucleotides) under uncultured Acidovorax sp. Its description in RNAcentral is "bacterial SSU rRNA". It matches the Rfam family "Bacterial small subunit ribosomal RNA", at positions 916 to 1381 of the family's 1533-position model. Lineage: Bacteria; Pseudomonadati; Pseudomonadota; Betaproteobacteria; Burkholderiales; Comamonadaceae. The record is from RNAcentral.